This 375-nucleotide ribosomal RNA is filed under the name uncultured bacterium. RNAcentral's name for it is "bacterial SSU rRNA". It matches the Rfam family "Bacterial small subunit ribosomal RNA", at positions 30 to 407 of the family's 1533-position model. The record is from RNAcentral.
AUUGAACGCUGGCGGCAUGCCUUACACAUGCAAGUCGAACGGCAGCACGGGGCAACCUGGUGGCGAGUGGCGAACGGGUGAGUAAUGCAUCGGAACGUGCCAUUGAGUGGGGGAUAACGUAGCGAAAGUUGCGCUAAUACCGCAUAUUCUGUGAGCAGGAAAGCAGGGGACCGCAAGGCCUUGCGCUCUUUGAGCGGCCGAUGUCAGAUUAGCUAGUUGGUGAGGUAACGGCUUACCAAGGCGACGAUCUGUAGCGGGUCUGGGAGGAUGAUCCGCCACACUGGAACUGAGACACGGUCCAGACUCCUACGGGAGGCAGCAGUGGGGAAUUUUGGACAAUGGGGGCAACCCUGAUCCAGCCAUGCCGCGUGAGUG